Molecule: ribosomal RNA, 253 nt
Filed under: uncultured bacterium
Lineage: Bacteria
Description: partial 16S ribosomal RNA
Rfam family: Bacterial small subunit ribosomal RNA
Source: RNAcentral
UACGGAGGGUGCAAGCGUUAUCCGGAUUUACUGGGUUUAAAGGGUGCGUAGGUGGUUUGGUAAGUCAGCGGUGAAAUCUCCGUGCUUAACAUGGAAACUGCCAUUGAUACUACCGGUCUUGAAUUUUCUGGAGGUCAGCGGAAUAUGUCAUGUAGCGGUGAAAUGCUUAGAUAUGACAUAGAACACCAAUUGCGAAGGCAGCUGGCUACAGGGAUAUUGACACUGAGGCACGAAAGCGUGGGGAUCAAACAGG